Molecule: non-coding RNA, 208 nt
Organism: Oryza nivara
Lineage: Eukaryota; Viridiplantae; Streptophyta; Magnoliopsida; Poales; Poaceae
Source: Rfam
AAUAAGUGUAGUUUUGCAUUGUUGAUGUACAAUGUUUGAUCGUUCGUCUUAUUUGAAAACUUUUUAUGUUUAAUAUUUUUUUAUUGUUAGUAGAUAAAAUAUGAAUAGUACUUUAUGUGUGACUAAGUUUUUUAAAAGAAUUUCAUAAAUUUUUUAAAUAAGACGGAUGAUCAAACAUUAUAUACGGAUAUCCACGGCUAUAUUUAUU